Molecule: unclassified non-coding RNA, 343 nt
Filed under: soil metagenome
Description: partial contains 5.8S ribosomal RNA, internal transcribed spacer 2, and large subunit ribosomal RNA
Rfam family: 5.8S ribosomal RNA (bases 1-120)
Source: RNAcentral
GAUGAAGAACGCAGCGAAAUGCGAUAAGUAAUGUGAAUUGCAGAAUUCAGUGAAUCAUCGAAUCUUUGAACGCACAUUGCGCCAGCCAGUAAUCUGGCGGGCAUGCCUGUUCGAGCGUCAUUUCAACCCUCAGGCCCCGCCUGGCGUUGGGGAUCGGCGCGGCCCUCUCCGGGCUGCCGGCCCCGAAAACUAGUGGCGGUCUCGCUGUAGUCCUCCUCUGCGCAGUAGCAACGCUCGCCCUGGAACUCGGCGCGGCCACGCCGUAAAACACCCCACUUCUGAAAGUUGACCUCGGAUCAGGUAGGAAUACCCGCUGAACUUAAGCAUAUCAAUAAGCGGAGGA